This 253-nucleotide ribosomal RNA is filed under the name uncultured bacterium. RNAcentral's name for it is "partial 16S ribosomal RNA". It matches the Rfam family "Bacterial small subunit ribosomal RNA", at positions 524 to 776 of the family's 1533-position model. The record is from RNAcentral.
UACGGGGGGGGCAAGCGUUGUUCGGAAUUACUGGGCGUAAAGGGCUCGUAGGUGGCCAACUAAGUCAGACGUGAAAUCCCCAGGCUCAACCUGGGAACUGCGUCUGAUACUGGUUGGCUUGAAUCCGGGAGAGGGAUGCAGAAUUCCAGGUGUAGCGGUGAAAUGCGUAGAUAUCUGGAGGAAUACCGGUGGCGAAGGCGGCAUCCUGGACCGGCAUUGACGCUGAGGAGCGAAAGCCAGGGGAGCAAACGGG